Molecule: long non-coding RNA, 313 nt
Filed under: Brachypodium distachyon (stiff brome)
Lineage: Eukaryota; Viridiplantae; Streptophyta; Magnoliopsida; Poales; Poaceae
Description: long non-coding RNA (BDIS_LNC005336)
Source: RNAcentral
GUUUCUUGAUUAUUAUUAAUAAUAAAAAAUUAUAGCAUGGUGGAUGCAUAUAUAUUGGUAACAUAUAAUGAUUCUUAUCAAACUUUUCAUGGCUUUUAAAGAUCCAAUCUGCAGAAGAGCCUCUGCAUCUGCAGUUUACAAAGAUACAAACAGCAGUGGGGAGUAUGGGCUUUACAAGGCCACAUACGGGCCGGUAACUGACGAAUAUCAGAGCACAGAAUCCAAAGCCUUCCUAAGGUGGGCCGCAAAAGCAUACAUACUGGACAAGGCGUACUGGGCCGAAUCUCACCAUCCGAGCGCGCAUCGACUGGAC